Molecule: ribosomal RNA, 254 nt
Filed under: uncultured bacterium
Lineage: Bacteria
Description: partial 16S ribosomal RNA
Rfam family: Bacterial small subunit ribosomal RNA
Source: RNAcentral
GACAGAGGCCCCAAGCGUUAGUCGGAAUCACUGGGCUUAAAGGGUGCGUAGGCGGACGUGUGCGUGCUUUGUGAAAGCCCCGGGCUCAACCCGGGAACCGCAGGGCAUACGGCACGUCUUAGAGGAAGCUAGAGGCCGGCAGAACGAUCGGUGGAGCGGUGGAAUGCGUAGAGAUCGAUCGGAAUGCCAAGGGUGAAGACAGCCGGCUGGGGCUUUCCUGACGCUGAGGCACGAAAGCGUGGGGAUCAAACAGG